This 509-nucleotide ribosomal RNA is filed under the name uncultured bacterium. RNAcentral's name for it is "bacterial SSU rRNA". It matches the Rfam family "Bacterial small subunit ribosomal RNA", at positions 25 to 518 of the family's 1533-position model. The record is from RNAcentral.
CAGGACGAACGCUGGCGGCGUGCCUAACACAUGCAAGUCGGAGCGGGGACAUUGCGACGGAGACGAAGUACUCGUACGGAGUCAAAGAUGUAAUGUCUAGCGGCGGACGGGUGAGUAACGCGUGAGCAACCUGUCCCUUACAGGGGGAUAACACAGCGAAAGUUGUACUAAUACCGCAUAAGACCACAGGAUGACAUCGUCCAGGGGUCAAAGGAGCAAUCCGGUAAGGGGUGGGCUCGCGUCCGAUUAGAUAGUUGGUGAGGUAACGGCCCACCAAGUCGACGAUCGGUAGCCGACCUGAGAGGGUGAUCGGCCACAUUGGGACUGAGACACGGCCCAAACUCCUACGGGAGGCAGCAGUGGGGAAUAUUGGGCAAAUGGGGGAAACCCUGACCCAGCAACGCCGCGUGAGGGAAGAAGGUUUUCGGAUCGUAAACCUCUGUCCCAGGUGAAGAGGAAGAGACGGUAGCCUGGGAGGAAGCCCCGGCUAACUACGUGCCAGCCGCGGC